This 1002-nucleotide small RNA is filed under the name Histoplasma capsulatum var. duboisii H88. RNAcentral describes it as "Histoplasma capsulatum H88 hypothetical RNA". Lineage: Eukaryota; Fungi; Ascomycota; Eurotiomycetes; Onygenales; Ajellomycetaceae. The record is from RNAcentral.
GAAGUCGAUCUCUGUGGGGAAUGGGAUACUCGGGAACAACGCUGUUAUGGCUGAUGUCGCGGUGGGAGCGUACCUGGAAACGAAUGCACCCAUCCUUGAUAUCCCCCGGAGCGUCAUACAUGCCUUUUCUUCGGCUGACCAUAUUUGCAAAUUUGAUACCGUUUUGAACGAAACAAACAAGUACCCACCCCCUGGCCCGAUAAGUGUUCCGGGAAACCCAGAAAACCUGAACUUUAGACGUGACGAACUUUGCAGGACGCCAUCGGAUAGCGAUGCCGGCCCAAUGGCUGAAUGUAACACCCACCCGAGAGAGUAUACUUCCGUGAUGGAAUCAAUUCUGAAUUCCACUUGCUACGGGCCUUGUGCGACCUUCUCUACUGCGGCUGACUACUUUGAGACGCGCUCCAAUUUAACUCACGAUUGCUUUAACCUAUACAACAUCAAAUACGAUUGCGGCACUGUCAGCCCUCUGGGCGCGCUGACUGCCUAUUUAAAUCGGGUAGACGUCCAAACCUGGCUGCAUAUUCCGCAGUCUGAUACCAGCAAAUCGAGCAAGAAGCGUAACAAACCGUACCCGUUUCAAGGAUGCAAUAGCGAGAUUAUGCAAGCUCUUUUGAGUCCAGCUAACCACCCAACACCACCAGCAUAUUUCAUCAUACCGGACUUGAUAUCGACGCACAAUAUCUCUACGCAUAUCUACCAUGGCAAGUUAGACAUGCUCAUCAACCACAUAGCCGUCGAACUUGCCCUACAGAACAUGACCUGGAACAGGCGUCAGGGUUUCCAGCAACGGCCGACGGCGUCUUUUUGUGUUCGCAAGGGUGGCAGUAGAGCUGGAUCCACAGCUCAGCCUGGAAAUGAUGGGACGAACAACCCCACUGGGGGCAUAUGGACUGCAGAGCGCGGGCUGACUUAUCAUCUCUUUAAUGAUGCGGGGCAUGUUGCACCAUUUGAUCAGCCAGAGGAGAUGUUUUGGUAUGUGAAGGAAGUCAUCCUAGGGGG